AGAGUUUGAUCCUGGCUCAGGAUGAACGCUGGCGGUAUGCCUAACACAUGCAAGUCGAACGGACCUUUCGGGGUUAGUGGCGGACGGGUGAGUAACGCGUGAGAAUCUGCCUUCAGGAUGGGGACAACAAUUGGAAACGAUUGCUAAUACCCGAUAUGACGAAAGUUGAAAGAUUUAUCGCCUGGAGAUGAGCUCGCGUCAGAUUAGCUAGAUGGUGUGGUAAAGGCGCACCAUGGCGACGAUCUGUAGCUGGUCUGAGAGGAUGAGCAGCCACACUGGGACUGAGACACGGCCCAGACUCCUACGGGAGGCAGCAGUGGGGAAUUUUCCGCAAUGGGCGCAAGCCUGACGGAGCAAUACCGCGUGAGGGAGGAAGGCUCUUGGGUCGUAAACCUCUUUUCUCAGGGAAGAACAAAAUGACGGUACCUGAGAAUAGCUCGAUCCCAC
This 447-nucleotide ribosomal RNA is filed under the name uncultured cyanobacterium. RNAcentral describes it as "bacterial SSU rRNA". It matches the Rfam family "Bacterial small subunit ribosomal RNA", at positions 8 to 501 of the family's 1533-position model. The record is from RNAcentral. Lineage: Bacteria; Bacillati; Cyanobacteriota.